GCGAGAGUGGCGGAAUUGGCAGACGCGCUAGAUUUAGGAUCUAGUACCGAAAGGUGUGCAGGUUCAAGUCCUGUCUCUCGUA
This 82-nucleotide transfer RNA is filed under the name Planctomycetaceae bacterium. RNAcentral describes it as "tRNA-Leu". It matches the Rfam family "tRNA". Rfam says of the family: Transfer RNA (tRNA) molecules are approximately 80 nucleotides in length. Their secondary structure includes four short double-helical elements and three loops (D, anti-codon, and T loops). Further hydrogen bonds mediate the characteristic L-shaped molecular structure. tRNAs have two regions of fundamental functional importance: the anti-codon, which is responsible for specific mRNA codon recognition, and the 3' end, to which the tRNAs corresponding amino acid is attached (by aminoacyl-tRNA synthetases). tRNAs cope with the degeneracy of the genetic code in two manners: having more than one tRNA (with a specific anti-codon) for a particular amino acid; and 'wobble' base-pairing, i.e. permitting non-standard base-pairing at the 3rd anti-codon position. RNAcentral also lists the same sequence under 5 other names. Lineage: Bacteria; Pseudomonadati; Planctomycetota; Planctomycetia; Planctomycetales; Planctomycetaceae. The record is from RNAcentral.